Molecule: transfer RNA, 64 nt
Filed under: Dipodomys ordii (Ord's kangaroo rat)
Lineage: Eukaryota; Metazoa; Chordata; Mammalia; Rodentia; Heteromyidae
Rfam family: tRNA
About the family: Transfer RNA (tRNA) molecules are approximately 80 nucleotides in length. Their secondary structure includes four short double-helical elements and three loops (D, anti-codon, and T loops).
Source: Rfam by way of RNAcentral
GGUGGCUCAGUGGUAGAGCGUUUGCCUUGUAUGCCUGAGGCCCUGGGUUCGAUUCCCAGCACCA